RNAcentral lists this long non-coding RNA (338 nucleotides) under Medicago truncatula (barrel medic). RNAcentral's name for it is "long non-coding RNA (MTRU_LNC001229)". The record is from RNAcentral. Lineage: Eukaryota; Viridiplantae; Streptophyta; Magnoliopsida; Fabales; Fabaceae.
UACGGGACCAUUGCUUGUGAUUAUGCUCUCUGCAGCAGAAGCAUUAGCAUUUAAAAUUGCCUCACCAUCGCCUGUUUUUGGAGACCCUGCAUUAGGGGAAGGAAGGCCUGAGAUACGCUCAUCCAUUUGCACAGACCCUACAUUAAGGGAAGGAAGGCCCGAGAUACGCUCAUCCAUUUGCACAGACCCUACAUUAAGGGAAGGAAGGCCCAAGAUACCCUCAUCCAUUUGCACUGACCCUGCAUUUGGGGAAGCAAGACCGGAGACACUCCCGUCCAAUUGCUUUGGUUUGUUCAGAGCAUGGCAAUGUGGGCAGUAAUAAGUGAUAAAUGGGAAAU